This is a long non-coding RNA of Chroicocephalus ridibundus (black-headed gull), 11104 nucleotides long. RefSeq lists it as uncharacterized. The transcript has 8 exons. NCBI's taxonomy places the organism in Eukaryota, Metazoa, Chordata, Aves, Charadriiformes, Laridae. The record is from RefSeq and is a predicted model, not a curated record.
GUAGGGUUAGUGAAUCAGCCAUCUGCCUAAAAAUUAAAAAUAAAACCAUCAUCCACCUCCAGAAGGGCUGGGUGCAACCACAGUGCUGAUGAAGAAGAGCGCUGGGACAACGCAGUCCCAUUCAGCUUGCGGGGACUCUGUCUCUGUCCCGUCCAGCUUGCCUGGCCUGCCUCAGGGUGUCCCAGGACUUCUCAAAGCUCUUUGUCUCCAUUUCCCAACAGCUCCAAACCAGGAAUCCGCUGCUGUAUGCUUUCCCACUUUUUCUCUCUCACUGCGGGUCUGGUCUUGCAGGGAACUAGGAAGAAAUUUCAGCUCUGUGGAAACCGUUGCACCGUGUCAGGAUAACCCUUUGGGAGACAGCAGCUAAGGACCUCCUGAUGCAGAGGCACUGGGCUGAUCGGACACUUCCAAAAGAGAUGAACCUGGGUCCCUAACAAAGAGUAUUCCAGGAGGGAGUCGAUGGUUUAAUAUAUUUUUUUUAUUUCCCAUGGUCCUGGUUGCCUCACCAGUCCACAGCCAAUGGUCAGAAAAGACUAUUUCAGUUUUCACAUCUCAGAAACUUCUGAAACAUUUCAGAAUUUCAUUUGCAAAUAACCCUUUUUCACUGCUUGAACAGCUCUGCAGCAAGGUGGCAGUAGCUGGAACAACAGCGUGACACAUCUAAUGAACUCAUCAUUAUUUCUAGCUGGUAAGCAGGAUUCAGAAGCCUCUCCUGCUCACCUGAUACACUCACUGAAGAACCACUUAUCUAAAGAAAUCUUAAAUGAUCUUCUGCAGCUCUGAACUUGAAAGAGAUGUAAUUCCUGACAGUACAACUGACAGUAUGCAUUUGCUGCCAUGGUCUGGGCAAGACUCCUGUUGCGAUGAACCGUUUCUCAUCACAGAAGAUGAUACAGCUGAGUGGGAAAGAAAGCUGACUUACAGAAUAAGCCUUCUGCAUUAUUCCAAGUAAAAUCAGAGCCAGAAGACUGCCACAGAGGUUCAACAUUCUCUGCUUGGAACUAGAACAAACAUUCGCCAUGGUAUGAGGUGUUAGGUUCUUUCUUUUUUCACUGCCACAAGAUUAAAUUCUUGCGUUGUUUUCACAAGAGUUAAUGAAUGAUAACUCCAGAGUCAUUGCAUUUCCCGGGCGCCAAAAAAUGUCAACGGCCCACCAGUUAUCUCAUCGGGGCCUAUUACUCAAAAGCUGCAGACCGAUGCUUACAACUCCAGCAUAAAAAGCUGCAGCUGCAAAUUUCUGGAGGAUCAGCUUAUACUUAUCCCCAGGGAAUGCCUGCCUGAACAUGCUCUAACAUGCAGGGUUCUGUCCUCUCUGCCACCGAUUCACAGCGUUCGCCAUUCUCUCUGCAGUGACAUAAUGGCCAUGAAGGAUGUUUUAACUGAUGUUGGGCCUGAAACAAGUCUCCCUCGUGUCUGUUUUGUGAAUUCAUUGGUCCAUUGCCAAGAAGAGUAUUUUUGCCAACAGAUAUCAAACUAGCUGAUACUGAAGCUUUUGAUUAAAAUGAACUUAGACCCAUCUAGCCAUAAUAACUAAAUAGUUAUUUUAGUGGUUAUUAUGUCUUUACUGUGAGACAUCUUAUCAUAGAGGCAGAUUGCAUGAAUCAAAGUAAUUGUACGUUGUGGAGACUGGCAAUGACAACUUCAGCUGCCAUCACUAGACAAACUUCUCUUCCGAGCUGUUGUGUAAAAUAUGGAGUGAGAGAAAAUCUCUGUUGUGGCUGAGGCACUCCGACUGAAGAAUUUCUGUCUAGCGUCUGCGCUCUUCCCAGCAGUUCUCUCCUCAGUGAUUAUAUCUACUGCUUCAUUUAAAAAAAAAAAAAAAAGAUACAGAACAUCAAAGGAUUUCUUUGUAUAAAGCUGAAAAAUUAGAAAAACGACAAAUUAAGAGUCUAACCUCUUAGAUCCAAAAAAAAAGCAGUUCAGCUUCUCCACUUAUCAUCACCUUUAAGUCAAUCCACAGCUGCAGUGGAGUUGAAAACUCCUUGCUUCUCGGGUUGCAGAUUACAGUCAGGACAUGAACUUUGCCUGGGGCUGAGGCUUUCAGCUCAUCCAGACCCUUGUCUCUGUGGUGCAGGACCUGGAAGCCCAGCAGGGCCCAUUUCCAAGGCAAUCUGAAUUUGGCCGCCUCACUGGAGCGCAAACGGUGUAACGUGGGUUACAACCGUACUGUGGUGGACACCUGAGUUGGGCAGCUCUUGGCUGAAGUUUUUAUGAAGUGAAUGGAUGAGGCUGAGAAAGAAAAAGGAAGGAAUCAGUGGAAUCAAGAAGCGAGCUGACCGCUCAAAAGGUCAAACACUUGGAAACAAAUCUGAGGUGACAGAGAAGAGAAAUAAGCAUGCAUAACCCAGGAGCUUUUAAUGAAUUGGAAGCACUUAAUCAAAUCAUCAAAACUAGGAGCCUGCUUACUCUGUAUCCUGGAGAGGAACUUCCAAAGGAUGCUUCGUUGUCCUGCAGAUCUGAGGUGGGAGGAAGAGAAAGAAGAGGAAAGCUAACAGGAGGAUAUGGAAAAUUACAACCCUGUCCCAAACUUAAGCAGAACAAAAAAACUACAACUGAGAAAGGUGUUGAGAAGUCACAGAAAUACAGAGAGAUCUCGUCAAGUGACAAUGCUCACCCUCCUGUGUUUUGCCCAAGGCUGGGCUUUGACUGCAGCCCUGCCGUCUCCAGCUGGCAGAAGGCGGCCCACGGAUGCACACGUGUCUGUGCUAACACUUGCCACCCUGGAGACUACAGCAGGGCUCGAAACAAAGACCCAUAAGGCUGGAAACUUGAGUCUGCCCUAAGACUAAAGGUGGCACCUGUCAGGGACAGACGCUUUCUGCGGCAGCGGCAGAGGGAAGAGCCCGGCAGCCCCUGCAGACCAAGGCCUUGCACGGUGCAACCUUAUUUGUGCUCCCUGGUCCCAGGGGGCUACACAGUUUGGAAGACGUAAUUCUUCACUUUGUGAAGAAGGAUGGUCGAGGGAUCAGAAACAAGACAGAGCCAAUAACUUAGUUGAGACUAUGAUCAGCUUACAUUUAUCUCCCUCUGCACCCUGCUCCAGCUUUUUUCUGAACUGGUUCAGAGCACUUGCAGUCAGAAUCUCCAGGUAUCUCUCUCUCUUUCUCCAUGCCAAGGUAUAUUUCGCAAUUACAUCGCACAGGGUUAGUACAUUUUUCUAAUGAGAAGAGGUGCUAUGAAAGCUUUUAUGUUGUUUUCUUUUUUAUUUGGUUAAUACACUUAGUGUGUGUGAAUGCGCGCCUGUGUAAUGUUUUGUUAAUGUGACAUUUAUUCUCCCUUCCUUCCAGCCCCUCCUCAAGCAUGUCUGCAAAUCAAUCUGGUUUUGUGUUUAAUGCAAGUUAUCAAUCAUCUUUUCAUGAGCAAAUGGUUUCAUAUUAAGGGGAAGGAAACAUUCUAAUGUAUUCAUUCUAUUAUUGUUCCUUGGAAAAGAUCCAGAUUUGCAAUAAACCAGUGAUUGGAAAUGCACAAAGUAUUUUAAUAUCCUAAUUAUUUUGAUUUAACUUCCUCUAAUAGUUUAAAUUGAUACUGAAUUUAUUUAGAAGUCAUUACAAAGGGAUUCCCCCCGCCCCCGCCAAGUAGUUCAGAAACACACACCGAACUGAAGCUGAAGACAAAAUACAUUGUUCAUAUUCCGAGCUGCCAAUGGUAUGCAAAGGGAAAGCUUUUGUAUGAGAAAGCCAGGUGGAGGGAAACGGGAAAAAAAAAAAAAAGCAAACAAUGCUGCUAUAUAUACAUUCAAUUAUUAUUUAAAAAUUCAUCUGAUUGAUUUAAAAAAAAACCACAUUGAUACAAUGGCAAUUUUUCUGUCUUCAGGAGAUGAUAAUCAGACACCCACUGACUUCCUACAUUGCUGGCACUGACACAGAUUUGACUACAUGAAAAGAACUACUCAAAAAUUGCAUCUCUUCCUGCGUAUUUUAUUUUUUUUCCCUGCUAUCUGCAUUUUUACCUUACUGCUGCAGUCAUGCUUUGCUCUUUUCACAUAAAUUUCAUCCAAGGUCUUCACAGGAAUGCUUUGCUCACGUCCAGGAUUUCUCAGCAUGCUGUCACUGCCUGAAGGGACUGAGAAGGCUUUAAAGUGAUAACGCUUGGCCCUCCAACAGAUCCCGCAGAAACCUUAGACACCAUCCCUAGAAGGUUCACUGCUGCCAUAAAGGUCCAUGGGACACUUUUGCGUAGGUACCAAGAGCUUCGUAAGGACUUCGUACAAGCAUGAUAAAUGUUAUUGCCAGGCUCUUCCUGAGGUGUAGAUAGAAAGAGUGUCAGUCCUGGUGUCCUAAGUCUUUUCUAGGUCUUUCAUGGCUCUAGAGAUAUCAGUAAAAGCUACUGACAGGAUCAGUGGUCUGCCGUGCUCCUCAUGCUACUGACCCAGUAAGAAGCCAUCCUUGGCUUGACGAGCUGAUGGCUCCAGGCCUGGAUCCCCAGAGAGACUUUGGACUACAGCAAGCAAAGCUGCCACUUCUCCAUUUAAGGGUCUUAUUCCAUUAGUUGACUGACCUGUUCAAUCAAUUCCUUUUCAAUCUCCCUCCAAUAAGAAGUUACUACAGUUUUACAUCCUUUUGACCCUAACAGAACCAAUGGCAUCACAUUAGCAUAAAAUCAAAGCAGCGCGAGACUGAAAAAAAAGAGAAGUGAAAAGGAUCUCUACAAUAAGAAUUUAUGCCCCAUGAUCAUUUUGAAUAUGACUGUACCUUGACAAUAGCUGUUGCCUGUAAACGAGCAUCCACGGAUACCACAUUACUUAUGAAGCAAAUUCAUGAUGACACAAGAGUUUCUCAAAAGAUUUGGCAGAGCCUGGCUCAUUAAAUUAAUUUUGAAGUGCUAAUUUGGCACCAUUUUUUUAAUGCACAUUAAUUCAUGAUAUAAAUUUUGACAUGUUCAGAUGUUUAAAAAAAGUUUAAACGGCAUUGGAAUUUGAGAAAUGUACUUUAUAUAAAUAUACUAUGAUUAGAAUCACCAUGCUUUACUGCUUUAUUUAGUUGCAAGUGAAGAGAUGAGUGUUUCGUGUCAUGCUAUGUCAUUUUAUAAGAGCAUGUAAAUGAAGUCCUUGAAACUAUUUAACUGUAUCAUCUUGCCACCUAGCUUUAGGGCAAAAAUCGGUACUGUUUGCAUUAGCUUACCUCGACAGUGAAUGGUGUGAGUGGAAGAAAUAGUCAUUUUUGAAAAAUAGUCAGGAAUGUUCUCCAUGCUGAAAGUACCGCAACUCCGAGUUAGCCAAAAACAAUCAUGAGGCACUACUCAAGACUUCUAGAGAGAAACCAGCUAUUGUUGUAUCCUUUCUUUUGAAUUACAUCUGAUUUUAAAGUGAUUAUUCUGAAGAUAUGGAAUUUGGGCUUUGGCCUAGGAAAUUCAAGAUCUUGAUCCUGAAUUUUAUGACCUGGAGUACUCUGGAGAUGGGGUAUGCGCUGCUCUCUUCUUUCUGAAACAGAACCACUCCACACCCUGAAGUGCAAAAUUUGUGGUGGGGGCAAAUAACAGGAAACCUGACUGUGAAGGCCAAUGCAUAACACACGCAGCUAGGACAUGGGUAAUCUGGAUAUUUUCAUCCCUAUCUAACAAAAUAAUAAAGAAGGGGAACUAGAAGGCAAAUCGUCCACAUCCUUCAUGCAUGCAUUAGUCAGCAAGGUGAAGAGUAGACUGUACUAUUAAACAUUUGGUUUAUGUUUGUACCAGCAUUUGCAAAACUUUCUUAGACAGCUCUUCCUGCAUCGGCGUCUUGCUCCAGGACUUUGGCAGCAUUUGGGCAGCACUAGGCCAUGCUGCUUCGGUCCAGAUCACGCUGGCAAGAUCUAUGGGCCAAAUCAAUGUGCUCCUGUAUACGUGCAGUGCUCACACAUAUGCACAUACAAAGGACUCUUCUUUUUUAAGUUGUCCAGGGGAGCAGCCUGUAAGCUUUGAGGUGCUUGGGCAAUAAUUAGCCAUCACCCAUCUGGACCAUGGAGUGGGGUUAAAACACACCUAAAUCCAUUUUAGAUGGUAUUCCUGCAUUCUGGAUUUUGUCAUGACUAUUCCUUUGUCUCUGAUGCAGUGAAGGGAGCAAAGUAUAAUUUGCUGAUGCUGUGAAAGCCAGCGAUGGUAGACUAGGCUGAUCACAAUGCCAAGGCGUUUAGUCCAGCAGUGAUAACCUAGGGGGUUUUGUAUAUUUAUCUAGCUAUCUACCUGUCAGAUAAGCAAGUCUAUGGGUAUCUGUAUUUGUUUGAACUACUGAGCUAUGAUCUAAGUUUUCUAUUGAUGCAAUCAUCUUUUCCUAGGUCACCGAAUAUUUUCUGAAUGCCUCAAGAUGUUUUAACUCAGUUUCCUAAUGCAAAAUGUUCCUCCUUUGAAAUAAUCAGGGAGUUGGAGUGUGUCUUUGUCCCUCUGUCCAGUCCUUUAUAAGAUGUGACUAAUAAUUGCAGUAUUUUCCUUUGACUGUUGUAGCAACGCCUCAUCCACUCCACAUUCUCUUUGAAGUAAUACACCCUCACAAAGGAGGUCAUUUCAGGCUUUCUUUUUUAAAACUACUGCCUAUCUAAAAAAGUUGCUAGAUUUUACCGGUGUCACAUUUUCAUCAAUAAAAAAGAUGGAAGCCACUAGAAAGUCUCUAGCCCCUGCAAGACAUGGUCCUGAAGAAAGAGAUGCCUUUGAGUAUGCAUGAGUGAGUCAAAACAAGUGAUUCGGUGUCCAGGAGGGUUUCUUUUUAGAUGCACAUUUGUAGCUAAACAGGAGCCUUGUGGUUCUCUCUUCAGCACUCCCCUUCUGUACUCGAAGCAGUUUCCCUCCUCGGAGGAGCGAGCUUGAAGCUACUCACUGGAGCAUCAUUUAAAGCAUCCCGCCUUCAAAGCGAAUGUAAGGUUCUCCAGAUGGCAGCAGUUAUCCUGGCCUGUGGAAAUGGGAUGCACGUUUAUGGUCUUAGAACCAUAGAAGAUGACAGCAAAUGUGUUUCACCAGUUAGCAGUGUAGCUGUAUAGUAUGUACACCCAUAAGAGAUUUCCAACUGGAGUUGUUUUUUAACUCAUUUAUACAGCAAGCAGUUGUAAUUCCUUUCCAAAAAGAGUCCUUGGAUGCAUGCCUAAAAUAAAUUUCCAAAUCCCUCCAUCAGACUAUUCCUCCCUCUCUUGUCUCUGCCCCUCCUUUUCUUUAAUAAUAAUGGAAACAAUUUGCAUCGUAAGCCAAACACAAUUUUCUUGUGUUAGGAAGAAAAUAAUGUUGCAAACUGAGUAAAGUAAAUGAAUAGUGCAUGAACUGCUGCCAUCUCUUGGUUAUAUUCAUCACUCCAAGUAUUCUGGGUGUAUUCAUCUAAAUCAAGAAUAUUAGGGCACAUCAUAGUGUUAUUUUCCCUUUCACCUCACAUCCAGCCUCGCAAACACAAAACAAGACAUCAUUUAAUUAUUUUUUUUCUGCUGCUGCUGCUGAAAUUGUCAGUUGUAACUAUGAAGGUAAUGUUUAAAGAUCUUUAUUAAUAUUCUCUGUGUGCUUAAGCUAGGUCCUUCAUCUUACUUUUCUGGGUUUUAGUUUUUGUUUUAUUUUAAUCUCUACCUUUGUUAAGAUUCCAAGCAUUCAGUUGUAAUUUUCGUACUACAACAGAGCUGGCUUUAUUACAUUGGCAUUCUGAUAAUGAAAAGCAUGAGGACAAAUGAAGGGAAGGGCAGCGGCAGUGAGGAAUCACAUCUGCCUAAGUGAAACAAAAUGAAUUUCCAAUAUAAUUUUUUUCCAUGUUUAAAGAAUAACACACUAAUUUUAUGCCUUAUCCAGAUGUGUACUCUGAUUAGAAGCUCGUUGAAGGCAAAACUCCAGUGCACUUCAAAAGCAUUUGGAUAAUUUCCGGUGAAAAUCGUCAGAUUUCUGUUGAAGUUGUCAGUGAAAUGACAUUGGUUUUUCCCACCCAAUACCAUUCACCACAAUUGCUGCAUGUUUAAUCAGUUCCUGCUGAUUUCAGUGGGACAUCAAUUGACCUUUUCUAGGUCAAUUGCAAUGUGUGGACAGCUAAAAUAUCCUGUCUGAGCAGUCAUUAGAUGCCCCCUAAAUGAUGAUAUGGAUGAUGAAUGGGAACAAAAUCCUGGCAAUCUCCCAACGACAGCCACAGAGGCAGGAUUUUUGCCUGUUCCUCACUUUUUUCCCAGCCCUUGGUCCCGUUCCCGUCGGUGUCACACUCGCUUGUUAACACGUUGCUGUAUCCGUACCUCACCAGACCCUAUGGCUGCACCACAGCCCCUCACUUCAGGCUGCAACAGAGAAGGAUCAGCAAUUUGUAUGGAAAAUACAAAUGCAGAAGGUCUGAGAGCAACCUAAUUAAAGCACUCCUGAGUUAAGCCAAAGGUUACAUUAACACCCAGGCUAUAAUUAGCAGAUCCUCUCACGUUGCGGAGUGAGGAGGCUUAUCCAGUCUGUCUGUUGGAGCAGAAGCAAUUGGGAACCGCCAUGAACGUGACAAGCAGUCGCUUGCCGUGUCCUACUGAAAAGACUUUGUUGAACUGAGGCCUUACAAAAAAGUUUUUUUUAUCUGGAAGACCAGAAAUUGCUUGGUCUUCCCUCAGCCGGUAAGAGACAGCCAGUCACGGCCGAAGAUCUCUUUCCUAUGGGAUGUACGUGACUCUGCAGUUCUGGAACCGACGACUCUUUUGUCUUUCUUUUUGUUAUCAUGACUAAAAAGUAUAAUUAUAUACAAACUCAGCUAAAACCGCCGGCAUUAAGUUUGAAAGGCCUUCUAGAAAGGAACAGCGUCACCCUGCGUGGCAGGUUUUGCUUCACUGGUUUUUUAUUCGCGAGCUCGUUACAUGACAACUUACCGCAGCCUGAUUUUCUUACUCGCUGACGUGAUUAAAGCACUAUCACCCCAGAGACUUCUUGUUUGCCAGCACGUAUCACCGCAACCCUCUCGGCUUCCUCCAAAGCGAGGGCAGAGGCCUGGCGUGCUGGAAAUUUGGCAGGGUGAGGUUUGAUCUCAUUUCAUAAUGGAGACACUCUGUUUUCUCUCUCUCUUCGGGGUGCUGAACUUUCUUCCCGAUGACUUGAUUAAAGGAUUAAAAAAGAAAAAGAAAAAAAAAAAAAAAAGCAGCGUGGUGAUUCUGAUGUAGAAAAGCACAAUAUAUACCAUGAAAAGCGCCAUAAAGCAAUGCUUCACCCUCAGAGCGGUUCAGAGAUAGGUAAAUAAAGUGCUUUGAGCGACACUGUUCUGAUGAGCAGAUACUGGCCAGAGUGAAUAUGAUGUAUCGGCAUAAAAAUAGGUUGAAAAGCCACUGUAGAAGUACAAGUAGGACCAUCCGUGCUCAGAUCCUGUUACUUAAGCAGUGCUUUUAUCAUACCGCUUAGUGCAGCGUCACCUCCCGGAUGGAAGGAUUUCUAUGUCGAAUUUGUGGAACAAUUUAUCGGUAGGCAGUCUGCCUAAGGAUGCAGAAUUUGUAGUGAUUAUUGUAGCCUUUUCCUUCCCAAUGCCCUGCUCACAAGAGAUUACAUGACAUUGCUCCAAGAGCAGGGAAACAGCCUUCAUAAGCAAAAAAAUCAUUUUUUCCAGACUAUAUCUUAAUUUUUUAUUUUUAUUUUUUACAAAUCCAGGACAUUUUAAGAAAGCCCAACCUUAGCUAGAAGCGUGUGAAUUCAUACUGACAGAUUCCUUCUGGAUGCGAAUACCUACAGUUUAGCUUCCAAAUUGCUCUUCCGCUGUUUGUUUGUUUUUUUUUUCCUACCCUGUCUUUAGACUAAAUGGAAAAAAAUGUUAUGCCAUUACCAUUUGCGUUCAAACUCAGACAAGUCCUGGUGGCUUCCAGACCUGCUCCAGGGACUCAUCUUUCCUGCGUAGCUGCAGCGGUAGAGGAAGGGGGAGCGUUGUGCUCUUGUUCGUUAUCAGGUUAUUGAAUGAGGUUUCUGUCAUGAGAAAGCUCUGCAGAACCCUGUAGAAUACUUUUUUAUUUUCUCGCAUAAUUCACUUUCUUCUGAAAGUGAAUCUUCAUACCAAAAAGACACGAGUGCUUUAAUUAAAAAUAGAUGUCUUUCUGAAGGAAAUUUCCCGGCUCAGCCAGACAUCACCAAGCUCAAAGCGGGAAUUGGACUGAAAUUUUCUGGUUUGUGGUUUAUCAGUGCUCAAGACCCUUGGUCACUCCAUCUUCAUUCUCUCUUUGCUGGCUGGCAGCAGAAGCAGGCUGGGAAAGGGGAUGCCAGCAAGAGCUGGUGCCUCAUGCCCUGACUGCCCUGGUGGGUAAGUCCGAAUUCAGGAGGAUCCUGGGUUGCCUACAAAGUCCACCUGCCGUAGGAGCAUCUUUACAAAAAGGCCUUUCUUGAAAGAACCUUGGACCAUCCUUUCUGGCUGAUGUCUUGUGGUAUAACCACAACUGGAGAUGGAAUGGUUGGGGGAAACAGAGCAGCCAUACAUGGGAAAAAUGAAACUGUGGGAACUUAAUCUGCAUUUCCCUUUGGCUCCCACAUCGAAGCAGAUGUGACCCCAGAGCGCUCCACAGCAGAUCGCUGCGUCUGCAGGGCUGCAUGGACUCAUCCACGGGGGUUUCCCCACCCUACUGCCUGCAGCACUGAGUUCCAGAAGAUUCCUGCUAUGGUUCAUUAUUUUGGAAAAGAUCUCAGACUGAAAAUAAACUGGUUUGCUGCACUUCAAAGUAGCGGAGAACGGUCUGGACAGACUCAUGUGUGCUCUGCUGGGCCCUCUGUAGCAAACACGGGCGGCUGCUAGGAACACCUCAGCAAUAGAAAUAGACAGAUUUUUCACUGUUGUUCUUCUCUGGUGAAUAAAAAAGCUCAGUGAGGAGAAAUAGAGAUGAUCCACGCCAGUGAAACCAACGUAUUCAAAUCUAAACUGAAAAAAAAAACCCCAAACCCAUUGAAGAAAACUCCUGUCAGAAUUUCCCUCAAAUGAGUGGACAAUGGGGUUUCUCCGCUCCCUAAAACCUAAUUCUUUGAAAAAUUUACUAUUCAUUGAAAGACAUAAGACCAGCUUGGUCUCCCAGCAGUGAUGGAGCAUUUGUGAAGAGCAAAGAUACAGAUGUUGCUGAUCAUGAGCUGGGUACAGUGACGCAAUGAUGCGAACGGGGCUUAGCGCUUGCAGUCUGUGGGCAAAUGAAGGAUGCCAGUUUCCAAGGUGGCCAAGUGCUGAUUUAGCUUUUAGAUAAAUAAAUUAAAA